CUGCUGUCCAAAUACAAAACCCACCACUUCCCAAAUGCUACAUACUGCCUUCCCCUGCAGUUAUGUAAGAGAGCAGUGACCUUUCACGAGAAGAGCUUGGCAUUUACAAGACCCAGGUGCCAAGCUCAGGGGUUUCUUCCCUCAUUAAGGGCAACUGUGUCUGCUUGUCUGGCUCUAUGGCAUACAGCUGUGCUGUCUGACCACAGGGACCUGGCCUUGCUGCUGAGCAGACAUCUUUUGGAAAGUGAAUACACAAGGAGCCCUCACGCUUCCAUGGUCUCAGAAAAGGUGAGCUGGUAUGCUGAUAACUUCUGGCUCUCAAGACUCCCAUUGCCAAAUAGAAGCCCCCAGACUGUAGAGUGGGGACAGGAGUCAAGACAAGCAAUGCUGAAAUUCAGCAGCGGAUCCAAGAAAUUUAAACUGGAAUUCACAAGUUUUAUCCAGUUUCCUUAUGGCCCAGGUCCUGUAUGGCACACCUGCCAGUGA
RNAcentral lists this long non-coding RNA (486 nucleotides) under Anas platyrhynchos platyrhynchos (common mallard). Its description in RNAcentral is "lncRNA (ENSAPLG00000030061.1)". The record is from RNAcentral. Lineage: Eukaryota; Metazoa; Chordata; Aves; Anseriformes; Anatidae.